CUCAAACUAAUUGUUUUUGUAUUACUUAAACAUGUGUCAUUUCUUUACAUUACUUAAGAAUUCUGAGUAAACUGUACUUUUUAAUGGCCUAUCUUAUUGUAAUUAUGUGAUUGAGCUCAAACAAUUCAAUAUCAUCAAGUUUUGCCUGUUACUAACAAGACUGGCUGCAGCCUGGCGCUUCCCGUCUCAUGCCGAGACGUGUCCAACGGUUCAAAGGGUCAAAAACAAAAUAUGAAAUCACAAAUUAUUUUCCAUGGAGUCACGGGUAAAUUUGUGAUUUCUGGAUUUUAUUGUUGUGUCCCUGAUGUUAACAUAAAAUUGAUGAAAACUUGAAGAGGUGCUGUACAAUAUUGUAAUGAUUGGAAGUAAAGAGGAAGAUAUAUUUUUCUUUUCAUCACAGCAAAUUACCCAGUGUUGAAAUCCUAGUGUUGGGGACUUUUAGAGUAAAGUGUUAAAGUUGUGGUGUUGAAUUUUAGCUAGUGUAAACAGCCUCCUCUGGCCGAUGUAAAUAAUCAGAGUUACCUUUGAGUGUUAAUAGUCACAUCCGGGACAUUUACUCGUGUGCACGCGCCUGACCCAUCUGAAAUACUUUUCACAGACGCCAUUUUCUUUGCUCACGACGCGGCUCGUAUGAGGACGGAAUAUGGCGAAAUAAAGUGUAUAACCUUACUCAUAAAAUGGGGUUUGUAAUAUCAUAUUGUUUUAUAAUGACAUUUAUUUGCUGUGUGCACAUAAACUUUUCUCAAGGACAUUUCCUUUCACUCACGAUGUGGAACAGACAAGGACGUCUUUUAUUUUCUAUAUGGGAAAUCUAAAAAAUUUGAACUGCUGUGCAGCAGACCAUAAUGGUGCAGACGCGGAAAAAAACAGAACGGAGCAGACGGAGAAGUUGGUUUUAACAAGGAAAACACGGAAAAAGCACUUUUGUGAUGCUGCAAGUGGGAGUGGAUUUCUUGCUUAG
RNAcentral lists this long non-coding RNA (961 nucleotides) under Carassius auratus (goldfish). Its description in RNAcentral is "lncRNA (ENSCARG00000056330.1)". Lineage: Eukaryota; Metazoa; Chordata; Actinopteri; Cypriniformes; Cyprinidae. The record is from RNAcentral.